GUGGGGUAAUUUUCCGCAAUGGGCGAAAGCCUGACGGAGCAAUGCCGCGUGGAGGUGGAAGGCCUACGGGUCGUCAACUUCUUUUCUCGGAGAAGAAACAAUGACGGUAUCUGAGGAAUAAGCAUCGGCUAACUCUGUGCCGG
This 143-nucleotide ribosomal RNA is filed under the name uncultured bacterium. RNAcentral's name for it is "partial 16S rRNA". It matches the Rfam family "Bacterial small subunit ribosomal RNA", at positions 353 to 511 of the family's 1533-position model. The record is from RNAcentral.